Small nucleolar RNA from Trichomycterus rosablanca, 73 nucleotides. RefSeq annotates it as small nucleolar RNA SNORD2. The transcript has a single exon. NCBI's taxonomy places the organism in Eukaryota, Metazoa, Chordata, Actinopteri, Siluriformes, Trichomycteridae. The record is from RefSeq and is a predicted model, not a curated record.
GGAUGAAAUGAUGGUUUACCAUCUUUCGGGACUGACCAGUCAUGGAGAUGCUUUUUUACUUUGCUGAUCAUAC